Molecule: ribosomal RNA, 406 nt
Filed under: uncultured bacterium
Lineage: Bacteria
Description: partial 16S ribosomal RNA
Rfam family: Bacterial small subunit ribosomal RNA
Source: RNAcentral
AUUGAACGCUGGCGGCAGGCCUAACACAUGCAAGUCGAGCGAGUGGCGGACGGGUGAGUAAUGUAUGGGGACCUGCCCGAUAGAGGGGGAUAACUACUGGAAACGGUGGCUAAUACCGCAUACUAUCGGAUGAACCCAUAUGGGAUUAGCUAGUAGGUGGGGUAAAGGCUCACCUAGGCGACGAUCCCUAGCUGGUCUGAGAGGAUGAUCAGCCACACUGGAACUGAGACACGGCCCAGACUCCUACGGGAGGCAGCAGUGGGGAAUAUUGCACAAUGGGCGCAAGCCUGAUGCAGCCAUGCCGCGUGUAUGAAGAAGGCCUUAGGGUUGUAAAGUACUUUCAGCGGGGAGGCGUUACCCGCAGAAGAAGCACCGGCUAACUCCGUGCCAGCAGCCGCGGUAAUAC